GGAUAUGAGGGCAAUCUGGCCAUGACAUCUGUCACCUCAUGGAUCUCCAGGGUUGAUGUGCCUGAUCUGGCUGGCUAGACGAGUGUCCCCUUCCUCCCUCACCACUCCACAUGUAUCCUUCCCAUAACUGCAUGCUCAGUCUAAGAAAUGACCUUCCCUGAGAGGGGAUCUUUUUUUGGUCAAGGAUAUGCAAGUAGCUGCACUCUCCUAGUAGAACUCCAAACAAGCUCUUGAUGUCCAUUUGUAGGAGAAUAUAGGGUAGUCAAGCUUCCAAGACUCUACACAUCUAAAUGAGGCACUGCAUGUGGCAGUCUGCCUUUCUUU
Unclassified non-coding RNA from Vulpes vulpes (red fox), 324 nucleotides. Its record names the gene 7SK. It matches the Rfam family "7SK RNA". From Rfam's summary of the family: 7SK was discovered as an abundant small nuclear RNA in the mid-70s but a possible function has only recently been suggested. Two independent studies have found that 7SK RNA binds the CDK9/cyclin T complex (known as elongation factor P-TEFb). P-TEFb activates transcription by phosphorylating the C-terminal domain of RNA polymerase II. The record is from Ensembl. Lineage: Eukaryota; Metazoa; Chordata; Mammalia; Carnivora; Canidae.